UACGUAGGUGGCAAGCGUUGUCCGGAUUUACUGGGCGUAAAGGGCGUGCAGGCGGUUUGUUAAGUCUAGGGUGAAAGCUCCCGGCUCAACUGGGAGAGGUCCUUGGAUACUGGCGAACUUGAGGGAGGUAGAGGAGAGUGGAAUUCCCGGUGUAGUGGUGAUAUGCGUAGAUAUCGGGAGGAACACCAGUGGCGAAGGCGACUACCUGGCCUGUUCUUGACGCUGAGGCGCGAAAGCUAGGGGAGCAAACGGG
RNAcentral lists this ribosomal RNA (253 nucleotides) under uncultured bacterium. Its description in RNAcentral is "partial 16S ribosomal RNA". It matches the Rfam family "Bacterial small subunit ribosomal RNA", at positions 524 to 776 of the family's 1533-position model. The record is from RNAcentral.